UUACUGCCCCUGAAUUGGUAAUUUUAAAGAAAUUUUGCUGUUUUUGGUUAUUAUCUUGAAUAUUAUUAUAGAUAGAGAUAAACUGUAAACAGGAAUAAUGUUCAGCAAAGUAAGAUUUACAAAUAAGUCAACUUGACGGAAAUGGUCAGUUGACCCCUUUAGGAGUUAUUGCCCUUUAUAGUCAAUUUUUAACCAUUUUUCGUAAAUCUUAGUAAUCUUUUACAAAAAUCUUCUCCUCUGAAACUACUGGGCCAAAUACUUCCAAACUUUAACUGAAUGUUCCUUAGGGUAUCUAGUUUGUAAAUUGUAUCCGAAGUUAUGAUCUAUCAACAAACAUGGUCGCCAUUGCUAAAAAUAGAACAUAGGGGUCAAAUGCAGUUUUUGGCUUAUAACUCAAAAACCAAAGCAUUUAGAGCAAAUCUGACGUUGGGUAAUAUUGUUUAUCAGGUCAAGAUCUAUC
Molecule: long non-coding RNA, 460 nt
Filed under: Mytilus galloprovincialis (Mediterranean mussel)
Lineage: Eukaryota; Metazoa; Mollusca; Bivalvia; Mytilida; Mytilidae
Source: RNAcentral